UAUUCUGCCCCAUGGGGAAGGAUGAGAAGCUUCGACUAAAGUUCGACUCGAGCGAAGCGAGAGAACGUUGCCGCAGGCAACGGCCCGAAGGGCGAGGCGCUUUAGCGCCGAGUAAUCCUUCCCCCACCACCA
Molecule: small RNA, 132 nt
Filed under: Klebsiella pneumoniae
Lineage: Bacteria; Pseudomonadati; Pseudomonadota; Gammaproteobacteria; Enterobacterales; Enterobacteriaceae
Description: RtT sRNA
Rfam family: RtT RNA
About the family: This family represents a bacterial cis-regulatory element known as RtT RNA. The exact function of RtT is unknown although it is thought that it may be involved in changing the cellular response in relation to amino acid starvation.
Source: RNAcentral